GGGAUCUGUCCUCCCGCUCUCGCCAUCAUUCCGCUUAUGCAAGGCACAUUCCUCCCACGGAGACUAACUGGUGCUGGAGACCUACCGUAACACUGCUGUCACGGGGGUGCAGAUCCUUAUUGCCAUGGCGACUGUGCCUCUCCCCCGACUGCUCCCCGGGAUUCUACAGCUUUCUCUCCUCAUCUGGAAUAUCAGCUGCCAAACUCCGGGACGGAUUCAGGGACGCGCACUUUGAGUCAGCCAGACCUCAUCGUCUGAAUCUACAGAAGUGUCCACGCACAGAGCUGCCAUGGGGGCUUCAGUGAGGGCAAGAGUCUUUUUGAAAGAUAAGUGUCCCCUUGCCAGGCUAGCUAAGCAUCAGGUUCAUGGGCACCACAGUCAUCACCCUGGAGGAAGUGCAGGCGCUGGAGGACAAGGAGGAGCAAGAGGAAUCCACCCUGGCCUUGUUAGGCAUCAUUGGCACGUUCCUUAACCUCUUUGUAAUUGUUUUUGUUUACGUUUACACCACGCUGUGAAGUGCAAACCUUAUUAGGCUCUAAAAACCUGUCGCCAGAAAAGACUUCUCUAAGAAAUUAGGGAUGUUGGGCGGUGAUCUGUCGCACAAGCCGUGUGACUUUUGACCUUUCCUGUCAUGUGUGUGCCAAUAAAACAUUGAGGGGA
Long non-coding RNA from Gasterosteus aculeatus aculeatus (three-spined stickleback), 660 nucleotides. NCBI's taxonomy places the organism in Eukaryota, Metazoa, Chordata, Actinopteri, Perciformes, Gasterosteidae. The record is from Ensembl.